GGAGAAGGUAUAGCUCAGUGGUAGAAUGCCUGCCUAGGAUGCACAAGGUCCUGGGUUCAAUCCCCAGUACCUCCA
Molecule: non-coding RNA, 75 nt
Organism: Camelus dromedarius (Arabian camel)
Lineage: Eukaryota; Metazoa; Chordata; Mammalia; Artiodactyla; Camelidae
Source: the annotation of a RefSeq genome assembly